Molecule: ribosomal RNA, 444 nt
Filed under: uncultured bacterium
Lineage: Bacteria
Description: SSU rRNA
Rfam family: Bacterial small subunit ribosomal RNA
Source: RNAcentral
AGAACGAACGCUGGCGGCAGGCCUAAUACAUGCAAGUCGAGCGCCCAGCAAUGGGAGCGGCGGACGGGUGAGUAACACGUGGGAACAUGCCUUUCGGUACGGAACAACUCAGGGAAACUUGAGCUAAUACCGGAUGUGCCCUUCGGGGGAAAGAUUUAUCGCCAUUGGAGCGGCCCGCGUCUGAUUAGCUAGUUGGUGGGGUAAAGGCCCACCAAGGCGACGAUCAGUAGCUGGUCUGAGAGGAUGAUCAGCCACACUGGGACUGAGACACGGCCCAGACUCCUACGGGAGGCAGCAGUAGGGAACCUUGCGCAAUGGGCGAAAGCCUGACGCAGCCAUGCCGCGUGAAUGAUGAAGGUCUUAGGAUUGUAAAAUUCUUUCAGCGGGGACGAUAAUGACGGUACCCGCAGAAGAAGCCCCGGCUAACUUCGUGCCAGCAGCCGC